AUUGAACGCUGGCGGCAGGCCUAACACAUGCAAGUCGAACGAGUGGCGGACGGGUGAGUAAUGUCUGGGAAACUGCCUGAUGGAGGGGGAUAACUACUGGAAACGGUAGCUAAUACCGCAUACCAUCAGAUGUGCCCCGAUGGGAUUAGCUAGUUGGUGGGGUAAAGGCUCACCAAGGCGACGAUCCCUAGCUGGUCUGAGAGGAGGACCAGCCACACUGGAACUGUGACACGUGCCAGACGCCGACGGGAGGCAGCAUGGGGGAAUAUUGCACAAUGGGCGCAAGCCUGAUGCAGCCAUGCCGCGUGUAUGAAGAAGGCCUUCGGGUUGUAAAGUACUUUCAGCGGGGAGGCUUUACCCGCAGAAGAAGCACCGGCUAACUCCGUGCCAGCAGCCGCGGUAAUAC
RNAcentral lists this ribosomal RNA (406 nucleotides) under uncultured bacterium. RNAcentral's name for it is "partial 16S ribosomal RNA". It matches the Rfam family "Bacterial small subunit ribosomal RNA", at positions 30 to 526 of the family's 1533-position model. The record is from RNAcentral.